CACAGGAGGAAAAUGAGCUGUCACUCCAAUUCCCAGGAUGCCUUGCUGCUUAGCAUAACUCCACUCUGCGGCCCAGGGUCCACUGGUCCGUACUCUGACAGAUAAUUAAGAAAGCAGCAGCUUUUUCUAGACGGCUCUUCCUCAUGAUUUGCAUUUUAGCCAGAGGCGACCAGUUAUAAAAAAAACAUGAUGGAAAGAUGGUAAGAAGCCAAUUAGAUGGAUGGAUGGCUGACUGACAGCUCUCUGGUAUUACUACUCCAGAUUUCAUUCUAUGUAUCCUGGCAGUUUUCAACGGGAACCAACUCUGCAGGUGGAAGUUAUUCACUCAGAGGGUGGUGACGCACUGAACAGGUUGUCCAAGGAUUGCUGGAUGCCCCAUCCCUGGAGGCAUUCCAGGCCAGGCUGGAUGUGGCUCUGGGCAGCCUGGUGUGAUGGUUGGAGACCCUGCACAUAGCAGGGGGUUGGAACUGGAUGAUCACUGUGGCCCCUUUCAACCCAGGCCUUCUGUGAUUCUGUGAUUCUUCUGAGUGGAGUUAAAGAGGCCAUCAGUGAGUGUCUUACUGCUACGUAUCUGGCUUAAAAUGAACAGCUGCUCCAGAGAUCUGGAAAUACUCUCUUUAGUUUUGAAUAGGAGGAGAAACUGAAGCGGAAGCAGGUGUUUGUGGCUGUGUUGUGUGAGGUAUCCUUCCUCUCUUUGUAGCUGCACAGUCACUGGGAUCAAAUUUAAAACGUGCAAAACCCCGAAUUCCUCAGAAUGUGGUGUGAAAGUGCACUUUGCUCACCGUUGUGAAAGCCAGCCGGCGAGCUUUGAGUUAUUCCCGUUAUUUCAGGAGAGGCAUAUUCCCUCUUUCUCACUAAAAGUGAGAAUACCGAGGGAAGAGAGGUGGCAGCGUGGCUAAAAUACGGAAUGAGGAAGUCACACCAACCUGUUCUGCUGCUUCGGUUGCUCAAGAGCCGGAUUUCCCGGUGUCGGAACUGCAUCACGGCAGCACUAGGUGGCAAUGUUGCUACAACGAAAACUCCCAUCGCUCCGCUCCAGCAGAGACCCCCGCCACGCUUUGCAGACAAUGCGAAGAGCUGUCGCCGCUUCGGCAGUUGCAUGGCAUCGUUUGGGUUGGCCGGGACUGCUCCGAGGUUGGCUGGUUGGUUGGCGUUUUCAUGAAGGAGCAAGUUGGAGGUGAUAAAUUGGUGUUGCUCAUGGGUUUGGUCAUUCCUACUGAAUUUGCAGUGGAUCUGGGGGUUGUUGAGUAAGGCACAGAGAAAUGAGCUGCUGACAGUCGUGUUAGGAUGAGGCUCCAUCAUCUGACAAAGAUCAUGAGGACUCAAGCCUGAUCCUAAUCAUAAAAUCAUAGAAUUAUAGAAUGGCCUGGGUUGAAAAGGACCACAAUGCUCAUCUCGUUCCAACCCUCUGCUAUGUGCAGGGUCACCAACCAGCAGACCAGGCUGCCCAGAGCCACAUCCAGCCUGGCCUUGAAAUAAUAAUAUCACUCAUGAGACCAUGGAAAGAAUAUAACUUGUACCUUCCCUCGUGUGCUAAUUCCAGUGAAAUCAAAGCCAAAAUUGUGGGGUAUAAAGUUUAGGGUGUGGGCAGCUUUUUCCAAGAUUAGUGCAUCUGAAGAAGAGUGAGCCAAUGGAAGCACGGAACAGCUAGCAGUUCAAUCUGUGUUUAAUCAACUACAGAGAAACAGCGUUCAUCAGGUCAUGAUGCUGAGGGGGCUCUGCACACUCCAAGUAUUUAUUUUAAUCCUCCUUAAUACCCACCAUUUGCAGUUAUAGUAAACUGCAAACUGCAGCUCUGGUUACCAAUAGGAUAAGCGACACUUCUGGUCUGAGUUUACCUCAUCGCUCAAGGGAUCAUCAUGAAAAUUCAGAUUUUAAUUCCAUUCUAAAGAAAAUGUUGCAUCCUGCUGACAGUAGCUGUGAUGGAUGAGAGUAAAAAUGGCCAAAGUGCAGAAAAAUCUUCUACCCUUUGCCAGGGAAGGGGAGUGGGCUGCACAUCGUGCAUUUCUACUGCAAAGGAUGCUCCAAAAGUAAUGCCUUCUAUUUUAUUGUCUUGGGCCACGACGUCAGAGGCAGAUGUCAGUGGGAUGACAGUAGAUACUGAGUCUUCCCACCAAUAUCCUGCUACAUUUUGUUCUGUGUGACAGACAACAGCAGAAAGACAGUCUGAAAGUACGGCAUCUGACAUGGAAAUGGGUAUGGAGCAAAGGUGUGUAAUUGAAUUCUUCCUUGAAGAAAAAGCAGCACCUACUGACAUUCAUUGAUGCUUACGGAAUGUUUAUGGAGACCAAACAGUGGGUUUGAGCACAACAAGGGGUGGGUUUUGUAUUUCUGCAGUGGUGAUAAUGACAUGAAAUACAAACCAUGUUCUAGACAGCCAUGCACAGCUGUCAGACCAUGAACUGAAGACAGUCUCAAUCAGCUCAUCCACACAUUCUGCUAAUGGUGAUGAUUGUUUUUUGUAGCUGAAAAUUCACUCUAUUCAAUAGUGUUAUUUUGUUCUUUGUAUGCAUUGUACCUUCCAUGGAAAUAUAUGCAUUACUUUUAGAGCGACCUAUGUAGUUUAUGAACAGUUGGAUUCUCAUAAUGGAUACUCAGAGGGUGGUGACACAUUGGAACAGGUUGCCCAAGGAGUUUGUGGAUGCCCCAUCCCUGCAGGCAUUCAAGGCCAGGCUGGAUGUGGCUCUGGG
Molecule: long non-coding RNA, 2690 nt
Filed under: Gallus gallus (chicken)
Lineage: Eukaryota; Metazoa; Chordata; Aves; Galliformes; Phasianidae
Description: lncRNA (ENSGALG00010011821.1)
Source: RNAcentral